GCUGAAAUAGCUCAGUUGGCUAGAGCGUGUGGUUGUUAACCACAAGGUUGGAGGUUUGAGCCCUCCUUCUAGCA
Molecule: transfer RNA, 74 nt
Filed under: Triticum aestivum (bread wheat)
Lineage: Eukaryota; Viridiplantae; Streptophyta; Magnoliopsida; Poales; Poaceae
Also listed under: 1 other name
Rfam family: tRNA
About the family: Transfer RNA (tRNA) molecules are approximately 80 nucleotides in length. Their secondary structure includes four short double-helical elements and three loops (D, anti-codon, and T loops).
Source: Rfam by way of RNAcentral